CCUACGGGAGGCAGCAGUGAGGAAUAUUGGUCAAUGGGCGCGAGCCUGAACCAGCCAAGUCGCGUGAGGGAAGACGGUCCUAUGGAUUGUAAACCUCUUUUGUCGGGGAGCAAAAGACGCCACGCGUGGCGUUCCGAGAGUACCCGAAGAAAAAGCAUCGGCUAACUCCGUGCCAGCAGCCGCGGUAAUACGGAGGAUGCGAGCGUUAUCCGGAUUUAUUGGGGUUAAAGGGUGCGCAGGCGGAAGGUCAAGUCAGCGGGAAAAUUGAGAGGCUCAACCUCUUCGAGCCGUUGAAACUGGUUUUCUUGAGUGAGCGAGAAGUAUGCAGAAUGCGUGGUGUAGCGGUGAAAUGCAUAGAUAUCACGCAGAACUCCGAUUGCGAAGGCAGCAUACCGGCGCUCAACUGACGCUCAUGCACGAAAGUGUGGGUAUCGAACAGGAUUAGAUACCCGAGUAGUC
RNAcentral lists this ribosomal RNA (459 nucleotides) under uncultured bacterium. Its description in RNAcentral is "partial 16S ribosomal RNA". It matches the Rfam family "Bacterial small subunit ribosomal RNA", at positions 338 to 795 of the family's 1533-position model. The record is from RNAcentral.